GGGUUGUGAGGUUAAGCGACUAAGCGUACACGGUGGAUGCCCUGGCAGUCAGAGGCGAUGAAGGACGUGCUAAUCUGCGAUAAGCGUCGGUAAGGUGAUAUGAACCGUUAUAACCGGCGAUUUCCGAAUGGGGAAACCCAGUGUGAUUCGUCACACUAUCAUUAACUGAAUCCAUAGGUUAAUGAGGCGAACCGGGGGAACUGAAACAUCUAAGUACCCCGAGGAAAAGAAAUCAACCGAGAUUCCCCCAGUAGCGGCGAGCGAACGGGGAGCAGCCCAGAGCCUGAAUCAGUGUGUGUGUUAGUGGAAGCGUCUGGAAAGGCGCGCGAUACAGGGUGACAGCCCCGUACACAAAAAUGCACAUGCUGUGAGCUCGAUGAGUAGGGCGGGACACGUGGUAUCCUGUCUGAAUAUGGGGGGACCAUCCUCCAAGGCUAAAUACUCCUGACUGACCGAUAGUGAACCAGUACCGUGAGGGAAAGGCGAAAAGAACCCCGGCGAGGGGAGUGAAAAAGAACCUGAAACCGUGUACGUACAAGCAGUGGGAGCACGCUUAGGCGUGUGACUGCGUACCUUUUGUAUAAUGGGUCAGCGACUUAUAUUCUGUAGCAAGGUUAACCGAAUAGGGGAGCCGAAGGGAAACCGAGUCUUAACUGGGCGUUAAGUUGCAGGGUAUAGACCCGAAACCCGGUGAUCUAGCCAUGGGCAGGUUGAAGGUUGGGUAACACUAACUGGAGGACCGAACCGACUAAUGUUGAAAAAUUAGCGGAUGACUUGUGGCUGGGGGUGAAAGGCCAAUCAAACCGGGAGAUAGCUGGUUCUCCCCGAAAGCUAUUUAGGUAGCGCCUCGUGAAUUCAUCUCCGGGGGUAGAGCACUGUUUCGGCAAGGGGGUCAUCCCGACUUACCAACCCGAUGCAAACUGCGAAUACCGGAGAAUGUUAUCACGGGAGACACACGGCGGGUGCUAACGUCCGUCGUGAAGAGGGAAACAACCCAGACCGCCAGCUAAGGUCCCAAAGUCAUGGUUAAGUGGGAAACGAUGUGGGAAGGCCCAGACAGCCAGGAUGUUGGCUUAGAAGCAGCCAUCAUUUAAAGAAAGCGUAAUAGCUCACUGGUCGAGUCGGCCUGCGCGGAAGAUGUAACGGGGCUAAACCAUGCACCGAAGCUGCGGCAGCGACGCUUAUGCGUUGUUGGGUAGGGGAGCGUUCUGUAAGCCUGUGAAGGUGUGCUGUGAGGCAUGCUGGAGGUAUCAGAAGUGCGAAUGCUGACAUAAGUAACGAUAAAGCGGGUGAAAAGCCCGCUCGCCGGAAGACCAAGGGUUCCUGUCCAACGUUAAUCGGGGCAGGGUGAGUCGACCCCUAAGGCGAGGCCGAAAGGCGUAGUCGAUGGGAAACAGGUUAAUAUUCCUGUACUUGGUGUUACUGCGAAGGGGGGACGGAGAAGGCUAUGUUGGCCGGGCGACGGUUGUCCCGGUUUAAGCGUGUAGGCUGGUUUUCCAGGCAAAUCCGGAAAAUCAAGGCUGAGGCGUGAUGACGAGGCACUACGGUGCUGAAGCAACAAAUGCCCUGCUUCCAGGAAAAGCCUCUAAGCAUCAGGUAACAUCAAAUCGUACCCCAAACCGACACAGGUGGUCAGGUAGAGAAUACCAAGGCGCUUGAGAGAACUCGGGUGAAGGAACUAGGCAAAAUGGUGCCGUAACUUCGGGAGAAGGCACGCUGAUAUGUAGGUGAAGUCCCUCGCGGAUGGAGCUGAAAUCAGUCGAAGAUACCAGCUGGCUGCAACUGUUUAUUAAAAACACAGCACUGUGCAAACACGAAAGUGGACGUAUACGGUGUGACGCCUGCCCGGUGCCGGAAGGUUAAUUGAUGGGGUCAGCGCAAGCGAAGCUCUUGAUCGAAGCCCCGGUAAACGGCGGCCGUAACUAUAACGGUCCUAAGGUAGCGAAAUUCCUUGUCGGGUAAGUUCCGACCUGCACGAAUGGCGUAAUGAUGGCCAGGCUGUCUCCACCCGAGACUCAGUGAAAUUGAACUCGCUGUGAAGAUGCAGUGUACCCGCGGCAAGACGGAAAGACCCCGUGAACCUUUACUAUAGCUUGACACUGAACAUUGAGCCUUGAUGUGUAGGAUAGGUGGGAGGCUUUGAAGUGUGGACGCCAGUCUGCAUGGAGCCGGCCUUGAAAUACCACCCUUUAAUGUUUGAUGUUCUAACGUUGACCCGUAAUCCGGGUUGCGGACAGUGUCUGGUGGGUAGUUUGACUGGGGCGGUCUCCUCCUAAAGAGUAACGGAGGAGCACGAAGGUUGGCUAAUCCUGGUCGGACAUCAGGAGGUUAGUGCAAUGGCAUAAGCCAGCUUGACUGCGAGCGUGACGGCGCGAGCAGGUGCGAAAGCAGGUCAUAGUGAUCCGGUGGUUCUGAAUGGAAGGGCCAUCGCUCAACGGAUAAAAGGUACUCCGGGGAUAACAGGCUGAUACCGCCCAAGAGUUCAUAUCGACGGCGGUGUUUGGCACCUCGAUGUCGGCUCAUCACAUCCUGGGGCUGAAGUAGGUCCCAAGGGUAUGGCUGUUCGCCAUUUAAAGUGGUACGCGAGCUGGGUUUAGAACGUCGUGAGACAGUUCGGUCCCUAUCUGCCGUGGGCGCUGGAGAACUGAGGGGGGCUGCUCCUAGUACGAGAGGACCGGAGUGGACGCAUCACUGGUGUUCGGGUUGUCAUGCCAAUGGCACUGCCCGGUAGCUAAAUGCGGAAGAGAUAAGUGCUGAAAGCAUCUAAGCACGAAACUUGCCCCGAGAUGAGUUCUCCCUGACUCCUUGAGAGUCCUGAAGGAACGUUGAAGACGACGACGUUGAUAGGCCGGGUGUGUAAGCGCAGCGAUGCGUUGAGCUAACCGGUACUAAUGAACCGUGAGGCUUAACCUUACAACGCCGAAGGUGUUU
RNAcentral lists this ribosomal RNA (2931 nucleotides) under Escherichia coli. RNAcentral's name for it is "23S ribosomal RNA". It matches the Rfam family "Bacterial large subunit ribosomal RNA". Lineage: Bacteria; Pseudomonadati; Pseudomonadota; Gammaproteobacteria; Enterobacterales; Enterobacteriaceae. The record is from RNAcentral.